This 473-nucleotide ribosomal RNA is filed under the name uncultured bacterium. Its description in RNAcentral is "bacterial SSU rRNA". It matches the Rfam family "Bacterial small subunit ribosomal RNA", at positions 28 to 526 of the family's 1533-position model. The record is from RNAcentral.
GAUUAAUGCUGGCGAGAUGCAUAACACAUGCAAGUCGAGCGGUAACAGGAAGAAGCUUGCUUCUUCGCUGACGAGCGGCGGACGGCUGAGUAACGCGUUGGAACUUGCCUUGAACUCAGGGAUAAGCACGGGAAACUGUGUCUAAUACCGGAUACCCCAGCAAUGGGAAAGCGUUUAGCGGUUCAAGAGAGGCCUGCGUUCUAUUAGGUAGUUGGUGAGGUAAUGGCUCACCAAGCCUCUGAUAGAUAUCUGGUGUGAGAGCAUGACCAGACAGAAUGGGACUGAGACACGGCCCAUACUCCUACGGGAGGCAGCAGUGAGGAAUUUUUCGCAAUGGGGGAAACCCUGACGAAGCAAUCUCGCGUGCAGGAUGACACCUUUCGGGGCGUAAACUGCUUUUAUGAGGGAAGAAAAUCUGACGGUACCUCAUGAAUAAGGGACGGCUAACUACGUGCCAGCCGCCGCCGUAACAC